AUGUGCGAUAGAAAGCAUAUGCCUCGUGUGGGUUCCUCACCAUCACUGCCUCUAAUAAUCCUUGUCCUCUCCUCUCUUCUGACAUAUUCAAUAGUAGGUGCCACAACUCUCCACGGUGAUGCCAACACCGACUUCCAAGCCCUCCGUUGCCUUAAAAUCCAUCUCGCCACUUCUUCUGGGCUCCUAGCCUCAUGGAAGAUUGACGAUCCCCUCCACCAUUUCUGCACUUGGUCCGGUGUUACUUGCAGCAAGAGGCACACAUCUCGCGUUGUUGCACUCGACCUCGAGUUGCUCCACCUAGAUGGCCAAAUACCUCCUUGCAUUGCCAAUCUCACUCUCCUCACAAGAAUCCACCUACCAUCCAAUCAGCUUACGGGUCUGAUCCCUGCUGAACUUGGCCUAUUGAGUAGGUUGCAGUAUCUUAACCUCAGCUCAAACAACCUUGGUGGCAUGAUCCCAAACAACCUAUCCACAUGUUCUCAGCUUCGAGUCAUUGAUCUUGGGAGCAACUUCAUCAACGGUGAGAUCCCACCAAACCUAAGCCAAUGUUCAAAUAUACAGCAGCUGAACUUGGAUGACAACAAGCUCACUGGUGGCAUCCCAGAAGGGUUGGGAACACUCCCCAAUCUUUCUGUUUUGCGCCUUGCCGGAAAUACUCUUACUGGCAAUAUUCCCGUUUCACUUGGAAGCAGCUCUUCUCUCCACUCUGUCUAUCUCACCAACAAUAGCCUCACAGGACCUAUCCCCUCUCUCCUAGCUAAUAGUCCAUCACUUCAAUUGUUGGUCUUGACCAACAAUAACCUUGGUGGAGAGAUUCCACCUGCACUAUUUAACAGCACAUCACUCCAAGUUUUAUCCCUGGCAGUAAACAACUUUACCGGGUCCAUACCUGCUGUUUUCCCCAAUAUUGUUGACUCACCCUUGCAGUAUCUUAUCCUGACAUCAAACAAUCUUGCAGGCACAAUACCUUCUACUCUAGGGAAUUUUUCUUCCCUUUGUUGGCUCUUGCUUGGACAGAAUAGCUUUAAAGGUAGCAUCCCGUUGAGUAUUGGUAAGCUUUCCAACCUACAAGUACUAGACUUGAGUUACAACUUCUUGUCAGGGAGUAUCCCUGCCUCUGUUUACAACAUAUCAGCACUCACAUACCUUGCCAUGGGUGCGAAUAUUCUUGCAGGGGAAAUUCCAUAUAACAUUGGAUAUACCCUUCCAAGAAUCCAAACUUUGGAUAUGGGAAUGAAUAAAUUCCAUGGCCAAAUUCCCACUUCACUAGCCAAUACGACAUAUCUUCAAGAGAUUAAUCUCUCUAACAAUUCAUUCCAUGGUAUUGUGCCUUCUUUUGGAACUCUUCCCAACUUAAUUAGCCUGAAUCUUGGUGAGAAUCAUCUCGAAGCAGGAGAUUGGUCUUUCUUAACCUCUUUGACCAAUUGCACCCAACUGGUGAAAUUAUUCUUGGAUGCAAACAUCCUUCAAGGAUAUUUGCCGAGUUCCAUUGGAAGCCUUUCAGAGAGCUUAGAGGUAUUGUUAUUAAGAGAAAAUAAAAUAUCAGGCACGAUACCACAGGAGAUAGAGCACCUCACAAACAUCAAAACUCUUUACAUGGAAAAAAAUUUGCUUAGUGGAAGUAUCCCAGAAUCACUUGGAAAUCUUCAAAACUUGUUUGUCCUAAGCUUAUCCCAGAACAAACUUUCUGGACAAAUUCCGCUAUCAAUUGGCAAUCUAAGCCAAUUGAGUGAGCUAUAUUUACAGGAAAAUAAUUUGAGUGGCCCGAUCCCAGAAGCUCUAGGAGACUGCAAAAAAUUGGACAUACUGAACCUCUCUUGUAACAGCUUCGAUGGUAGCAUACCAAAGGAGCUCUUUACUCUUUCUUCCCUUGCAGAAGGUUUGGACUUAUCUCACAACAAACUCUCAGGAGAAAUACCGCCAGAGAUUGGUGGCUUGGUCAAUCUCGGCCCAUUGAAUAUUUCCAAUAACCAGUUGUCUGGACAAAUACCCUCAAGUCUAGGUGAGUGUGUCCACUUGGAGUCAUUGCACAUGGAGGGAAACCAUUUUCAUGGGAGAAUCCCUCAAUCUUUCAUGAAUUUGAGAGGCAUCAUUGUGAUGGAUCUAUCUCAGAACAACUUGUCCGGUAAAAUCCCUGAUUUCUUUGAGUCCUUUAGUUCCAUGAAGCUUCUCAAUUUAUCGUUCAACAACCUUGAGGGACCAGUACCACCAGGUGGAAUGUUUCAGAAUGAAAGUGAGGUGUUUGUACAAGGGAACAAGAAGUUAUGUGCGAGCCCAUUGCUAGAUUUGCCACUUUGUAAUGCAGUGAUAUCCAAACAAAAGUGGUACACCUCCAAGAUUCUAAAGAUAGUAACAAUUACUGCUCUUUCUUUGGUUCUGUUAUCAUGCUUUGGAGUCAUUAUUUGUAAAAAGAGAAAAAAAGUCAAACAAGCAGCACAUCCAUCUGCCAAGGAGUUAAAGAAGUUUACAUAUGCUGAUUUAGUGAAAGCAACAAAUGAUUUUUCUUUAGCCAAUUUAGUUGGUUCGGGAAAAUAUGGGUCUGUGUACAAAGGUAGAAUGGAGUCUGAAGAACAGCAUACAGUUGCUAUCAAAGUUUUCAAACUUGAUCAACUUGGAGCAACAAAGAGCUUCCUUGCUGAAUGUGAGGCACUGAGAAACACUCGUCAUCGUAAUCUUGUAAGGGUGAUCACUGUAUGCUCGACAUGUGACCUGGCAAGAAAUGAGUUCAAAGCUCUUGUUCUUGAAUUUAUGAUAAAUGGUGACCUAGAGAAUUGGCUCCAUCCAACACUACCCGACGAGCAUCAUCCAAAAAGGCCAUUGUGUUUGGGUUCAAGAAUAGUGAUAGCAGUGGACAUAGCUGCUGCUUUGGAUUACCUCCAUAACCAUUGCAUGCCGCCUAUGGUCCACUGUGAUCUGAAGCCUAGCAAUGUCCUGGAUGAUGUCAUGGGCGCAUGUGUUGGUGACUUCGGGUUGGCUAAGUUCCUACAUGGUUAUUCUUCUUCGAUGACAAUUGAUGGUUCUACAAGCUUAGUGGGGCCAAGAGGAUCGGUUGGAUACAUUGCACCAGAAUAUGGUUUGGGGAGCAAAAUCUCCACGGAGGGUGAUGUUUACAGCUAUGGAGUCAUCAUAUUAGAGAUGCUCACAGGGAAGCGUCCAACUGAUGAGAUAUUUAAAGAUGGCCUGAGCCUUUACACAUUUGUGGAAAUAUCAUUUCCGGGGAAGAUUUGUGAGAUUCUAGAUCCCAGAAUCAUCCCCUGCUGUGGGAACCUAGAUGAAGAAGAAGCAGUAAGUAUAUUGUUGAAUCAUCAAAUGGUCGGGGGAACAAUGAGCUGCAUCACCGCUCUCAUUAAGCUUGGCCUGCUAUGCGCUGCGGAGAUGCCUAAAGAUCGUCCAGCAAUGCAGGACGUUUACAUUGAAGUCACCGCAAUCAAAGAAGCAUUUUCAGCACUGCAGGGCUGA
Molecule: ribosomal RNA, 3459 nt
Filed under: Triticum aestivum (bread wheat)
Lineage: Eukaryota; Viridiplantae; Streptophyta; Magnoliopsida; Poales; Poaceae
Description: partial small subunit ribosomal RNA
Source: RNAcentral